GGGGCCCUGAGUCAUCGCCGCCCCCGGCCCCGACGCUGGCCUGCGGCGUCUGUUUGUGCAGAGCGAGGCCCCGCCGGCCGGGCUUGACGUCAGGCUGGCAGGGCCUGGAACGGCCCCGCAUCGCGGCCCCCUGGGGGCAGGACGACACCGCUGGGGGCCGAGGGCAGGGCACGCCUUCGGAAUCCGGCUUCGAAGCCGGCCGCCUGACCUGGGGCAAGUGCUUUCAACUCUCUGAACUUCGGUUCCUCAUCUGCCAGUUGGCAGACGCUCAGCAAAUCUUCCUAGACUCACGGGGCGAAUUGUACAGUUGGGUAAAUCGAGGCCCAGAGAUGGCAAAAGGACCGUCCAAGGUCGUACAGCCACCCGGAAUUACAAUUCUUUUCUGCCGGGUCACACGCUGUCAUCCACGUGUUACCUAAGAGAGCUUUCCAGCCUGUGCUAAGAAAACUGCCCCACAUCAUCUGCAGUAGGACGGGGGAGUUGGAGCCCUGGUCAGGCCACUCUGCUACUGACCACAGUUUUCUCAUCUCUAAAAAGGCGCAGUAACAAUAUAAUUACCGUAUGCAGUCCCCCAGGAUACAGGGUCAAAGGAGAGCACAACCAUCGCAGUUGGAAGCCCAUGGGGCAGGGCCCAGGACACAGUGAGCAUACAAUAGACAUUAGCUGCUGUGGUGUCUUGAUUUCAAGCCCAGUGCAGAUGCAUCUGACUUACGAAACUUCAGUGACACCUGCUCUGUGCCAGACACUGAAGAUGGAGCAGUGAACAGCACUGACCCAGCCUGUCCUCCUGUUGCCUGCAGGCCAGAAGCAAGGUCUCGCUGUGUUACCCUGGCUGGAGUGCAGUGGCUACUUACAGGCAUGAUCAUAGCAUACUGCAGCCUCGAACUCCUGGACUAGAGCAGUUCUCCUGCCUCAGCCUCCAGAGCAGCUGGGACUGCAGACACGCACCACAGAGCCCAGCCUGAGUCAUUUUGAUUCUGUAACUGGCUUCCUCUCGGCGGGCAGGCUCACACCCUCCACCCCCAGCUGGAGAUGGAAGGAGGAUGCUCACCGCCCAUUCCUCAUGCAGGCCAUCGAUGGAAAUGUCAGACAGUGCGAGUCCACGCCUGAACACUUCUGGGGUCCGCUCUGGGACUGACACUGGCAGAUCCAUCGAUGCCGUUCCAUUGUUUGCUGACUUUCAUUGAUUCUAUGAGAAGUCUGCAGUCUUUUGCAGCGUUGUUUUCCUAUGUAUAAUUGUCUCCUCCCACCCCACUCACCCCAGCUGCUUUCCACAUUCUCUCUCUUUGAUUUUCAGCAGUCUGCCCAUGAUGUGCCUAAAUAGGACUUUCUUUGCAUUCAUCUUGGCUGGGGCUCACUGAACUUUCUGAAUCUGUAGAUUAAUUUUCUUUUUUCAAUAAACCUUGGAAUAUUUUCAGCAUAAU
Molecule: long non-coding RNA, 1424 nt
Filed under: Homo sapiens (human)
Lineage: Eukaryota; Metazoa; Chordata; Mammalia; Primates; Hominidae
Description: long intergenic non-protein coding RNA 963
Source: RNAcentral